Sapajus apella (tufted capuchin) is the source of this 3315-nucleotide RNA transcript. It is a transcript of the gene named pseudouridine-5'-phosphatase pseudogene, with no coding region annotated. The transcript has a single exon. The record is from RefSeq and is a predicted model, not a curated record. NCBI's taxonomy places the organism in Eukaryota, Metazoa, Chordata, Mammalia, Primates, Cebidae.
GCAUAUGGUGUUUGGUUUUCUGUUCCUGUGUUAGUUUGCUUUGAUUUCAAGUUUCAUCCAUGUCCCUGCAAAGGACAUGAACUCAAGAGUGUCACUUUCUGAUGGGCCCAGGAAGCACAUGCUCUUGGGACCACAGGAAGAGGGGAGUUUACCCAAUUCACAGGUAUGUGAGGGUACAAACCAUGGCUGGGACUGGCUUCAGAAAGUCCUAUCCUAAUAUUCCUUGUGGGACAGUUCCAUCAAAGCCAAUAUCAAAGAAAUAAUUAUUCUUUCUGCACUUUAUGCAAAUAAUUGGGUGAAUUAUAAGACUAAAGUCUAUUUUACAAACAACUCAGUUCUAUCAUGAUUUGUUUUUAACAGAAAUGAGGACUGGAGAAAGAGAAAUUAUGUUUCAAAACUUGUCAUACAUUUGUAAUUACAUUCUAGACUCAUUAGUUGUUUUUAAGUUUUGCCUGCAUUUUAGACUAACCCUGCUUAUUCCUGUGAACCAACCAGCAAUCUCCAGCCACAGCUAAGAAGGAACAAAAGGGGUGGGUAUUGUAAAAAUCUGGAUCACUAUUCUAGUUCUGGGCAAUUAUCCUGCAACUCCUGGCAGUUAACAGGAAUAAAUAGGAUGCUCAUCACCUGGAGGUUUCCUUUUUGGGAAAGCAAAACAAGGGAGCUAACCAAAGCCAAGCCCCAUGCACCUAAAUCUUAGCAAGCAUAACCAUAGCCACCAGUUAUGUCACCAGACAUCCUUUUCUCUUCUUUGUUGGAGGAAAACUCAGUCCUUACAAAGACCGAGUAAAGUAUUUUAUGACCAAAAUUUACCCUUCUCUCUACCUGGGUUCUCUAAAAUUUGGCAACUAUUUGUGGAUAUCCAUAUUUUAUGGAAACAGUUAUUUCCAUAAGUUCAGUGAGGAUCUGUUUUGUUUUGUAACAAGACACACUCAGAGACACUAGUUAUUUUACCAUGGCUUUGACUGGACCAGCAUAUUUGCAGACAUGACCAGACUGAAGAAUGGAGGUCAACUUUAGAGCCAACAAAAAGCCUGUUGGAAAGACUGGCUUAGUAUCUUGACUAAAAUGUUCCUUUGCAAGGUUUCUCACCUGUGGUAAGUAAAGAAUGUCACUUUCUAAUAGGCUCAGGAACGUCAAGAUAUUUUGGGAACUUGAAAAGAAUUGGUACAGGUAUUAAGAGCACAGUCUGACCCAGACCCGGAAGGUGGCACCAUAGUGGUGCCUCCACCUGCACCCCUGCCACAGCCUGUCACCCACCUCAUCUUUGACAUGGAUGGACUUCUGGAUACUGAACGGCUGUAUUCAGUAGUAUUUCAAUAAAUAUGUGAUCGCUAUGACAAGAAAUAACAACCGGGAUGUAAAGUCCCUGGUUAUGGGUAAGAAGGCUUUAGAGACAGCACAGAGUACAAUAGACGUCUUGCAGCUUUCAGUGUCCAAAGAGGAGCUGGUGGAAGAAAACCAAACGAUGUUGAAGGAAGUGUCCCCCAUGGCUGCACUCAUGCCAGGGUCUGAGAAGCUCAUCAUCCAUCUGUGGAAACACGGCAUUCCCUUUGCCCUGGCCACCAGCUUGGAGUUCUGCAUUGUUUGAGGUGAGGACGGGUGGACACAAGGAGUUCUUCAGCUUGUUUUCUUAUGUCACGCUCAGAGAGGACCCUGAAGUGCAGCAUGGCAAGCCAGAUCCCGACAUCUUCCUAGCUUGUGUCAAGAUGUUCUCUCCCCCUUCUCCUAUGGAGAAGUGUCUUGUCUUUGAAGGUGCUCCCAAUGGGGUGGAAUGGAGGUGGCCUGGGCAGCUGGGAUACAGGUGGUCAUGGUUCCAGAUGGAAACUUUAGCCGAGACCUGAUGACAAAGGCCACCCUGGUGCUGAAUUCCAUGUAGGACUUCCAGCCUGAGCUGUUUGGUUUGCCUCCCUAUGAGUAAGAGGGAGGGCCUCGCUAUGCCUCCCCACAGCUCACUCUCAUGAUCCACACUGCUGGGGGAAAGGGAAAGGAAAUCAGCAACUCUCAAAUCCCAACCUGCACAGUAAUUUUAACCUCCUGAGAUUGGCAUUUCCAUCUUGUGUUGGCUUGCCCCACUCUAACAUGUUGAUAAAAUUUGAUAAAACGUGACUUGACAGUUGAGAGAAACACAGUAGAGAUGGAAACAAAGCCCAGAACAAAGAUGAAACUUGAAUUACUGUCUCAAAAAUCAAACUGAUGGAGUAGGUGGUGAAGUAAAUGUAUAUAUAUACAUACACAUAAAUACCUCCAUGUGUACAUGUGUAUGUCAGUAUGUUAAUAUUCAUGUAGGCAUUACAUGUUUAUACAUGUAGAUAUAUACAUGCAUUUGUAUGUAAAAUAUUUACUUUUCUAAGACAAAAUGGAACAUCAUUUCUCUUUUAUUCUAGUUUUCUUUGAACACUGGCUGGGAAAUGUAAACUGUGUAUGCAUAUAAGUAUAUACUUUAUGUAUGCAUAUGUAUGUACAUAUAUUUAUAUCUAUCAUUUGCAUCACUCUCCUCAGUGUUAAUGUCAACAUACAAUGAUAACUGAUAAAGCGAGAUGGCAGUUCUGUCUGGUUUCCAGUCUGAGUGGGAAAGCCCUGUUUUUGAUGAGCACUAAGAAGUCCUUCUCCUUGUUAGCUAACAUUCAAUUCUUUUUGUGACCUCAGAAUGUCUCUGGAUCUUUCCUCACUGACUGACUCUAAGCCACAUCAUCCGUAGUUUUUUGUUAGUGUGAACACAACUGUAACAUUUACCUCGUAUCUACAUCCUUAUCUAUAUUGGAAAAUGUUUUCUACCUCAGAACAACCAUUUGCCUCCUUUAAGAACACUGAUGGCCUACACCUUGUGGACAGAAAUUAGAAUUUGAUUUCAGAAUGUGUGCUUGGUGAGUCAGAGUGCCUGGCAACACUUUUGGAAUAAUUCUGUGAUUAAUCACUUUUAUAGAUUUACUCAUCUUAAAAUAUGUCUGUGAUUUGCCAGAGAAAAAUGGUGGUAGCCAUGAAAAUCAGGAGUGAGGGAGCUCUACUCCAUUGUAGCUCAGCCCUUCCCAGUGGCCUCUGCCCUUGGAUGUUCUUGAGCUACUCUUCAACUCUGGAAGUUGUGGACAAACCAUAGGGAUGCAUGUGUGCAUGCGGUGGAGUGAUUGUGUGUGGAUGACAGGCCCCAGCUAUUGAUAGAUGUUGCAUCAUUUAGCAAAUUUAUUUCCUCAUUCCUGAUGGCCUGUAUACAUGUCUACGCUUUGAAUGCUCCUCUUAAACUAGUUGUAAUGUCUUACUGUUUCCCUAACAAAUUAAAUUAGUUUAAUAAAAUCUUUUGACACAUGUUAAAAAAAAAAA